RNAcentral lists this ribosomal RNA (495 nucleotides) under uncultured bacterium. Its description in RNAcentral is "bacterial SSU rRNA". It matches the Rfam family "Bacterial small subunit ribosomal RNA", at positions 351 to 838 of the family's 1533-position model. The record is from RNAcentral.
GCAGUAGGGAAUCUUCCACAAUGGGCGCAAGCCUGAUGGAGCAACACCGCGUGAGUGAAGAAGGGUUUCGGCUCGUAAAGCUCUGUUGUUAGAGAAGAACGUGCGUGAGAGCAACUGUUCACGCAGUGACGGUAUCUAACCAGAAAGUCACGGCUAACUACGUGCCAGCAGCCGCGGUAAUACGUAGGUGGCAAGCGUUAUCCGGAUUUAUUGGGCGUAAAGCGAGCGCAGGCGGUUUGAUAAGUCUGAUGUGAAAGCCUUUGGCUUAACCAAAGAAGUGCAUCGGAAACUGUCAGACUUGAGUGCAGAAGAGGACAGUGGAACUCCAUGUGUAGCGGUGGAAUGCGUAGAUAUAUGGAAGAACACCAGUGGCGAAGGCGGCUGUCUGGUCUGCAACUGACGCUGAGGCUCGAAAGCAUGGGUAGCGAACAGGAUUAGAUACCCUGGUAGUCCAUGCCGUAAACGAUGAGUGCUAGGUGUUGGAGGGUUUCCGCC